This 269-nucleotide ribosomal RNA is filed under the name uncultured bacterium. RNAcentral describes it as "partial 16S ribosomal RNA". The record is from RNAcentral.
CUGCUGCCUCCCGUAGGAGUCUGGUCCGUGUCUCAGUACCAGUGUGGGGGACCUUCCUCUCAGAACCCCUAGACAUCGUCGCCUUGGUGGGCCGUUACCCCGCCAACAAGCUAAUGUCACGCAUGCCCAUCCGUCUCCGGAGUCGCCUCCUUUGGCCGAAAGAAGAUGCCUCCCCUCGGCCACAUGCGGUAUUAGGCCGGAUUUCUCCGGGUUAUCCCGCUGAAACGGGCAGGUUGCAUACGCGUUACGCACCCGUCGCCGGUCGCCGG